Molecule: ribosomal RNA, 462 nt
Filed under: uncultured bacterium
Lineage: Bacteria
Description: partial 16S ribosomal RNA
Rfam family: Bacterial small subunit ribosomal RNA
Source: RNAcentral
GAUGAACGCUGACAGAAUGCUUAACACAUGCAAGUCAUUGGCGAAGCUGCGCUUGCGCAGUCUAGCCAAGGCGGACGGGUGAGUAACGCGUAAGGAACUUGCCCUGCAGACAGGGAUAACAGACGGAAACGACUGAUAACACCUGGUAUUGUCAGGCUGGCGCAUGCCGGCCUGAUGAAAGGAGACGCUGCACGAGAGCCUUGCGUCCUAUUAGCUAGUUGGUGGGGUAACGGCCCACCAAGGCGAUGAUAGGUAGCCGGCCUGAGAGGGUGAACGGCCACAAGGGGACUGAGAUACGGCCCUUACGCCUACGGGAGGCAGCAGUGGGGAAUAUUGGACAAUGGGGGCAACCCUGAUCAAGCAAUUCUGUGUGCACGAAGAAGGUUUUCGGAUUGUAAAGUGCUUUCAGCAGGGAAGAAGAAAGUGACGGUACCUGCAGAAGAAGCGACGGCUAAAUACGUG